AGAGUUUGAUCCUGGCUCAGGACGAACGCUGGCGGCGUGCUUAACACAUGCAAGUCGAGCGGAAAGGCCCUUCGGGGUACUCGAGCGGCGAACGGGUGAGUAACACGUGAGUAACCUGCCCCUGGCUCUGGGAUAGCCUCCGGAAACGGGGAUUAAUACCGGAUAUUCACUUCCUUCCGCAUGGUUGGUGGUGGAAAGUUUUUCGGCCAGGGUGGGGCUCGCGGCCUAUCAGCUUGCUGGUGGGGUGAUGGCCUACCAGGGCGACGACGGGUAGCCGGCCUGAGAGGGCGGGCGGCCACACUGGGACUGAGACACGGCCCAGACUCCUACGGGAGGCAGCAGUGGGGAAUAUUGCGCAAUGGGCGGAAGCCUGACGCAGCGACGCCGCGUGCGGGAUGAAGGCCUUCGGGUUGUAAACCGCUUUCACCAGGGACGAAGCUGACGUGACGGUACCUGGGGAAGAAGCGCCGGCUAACUACGUGCCAGCAGCCGCGGUAAU
RNAcentral lists this ribosomal RNA (499 nucleotides) under uncultured soil bacterium. RNAcentral describes it as "bacterial SSU rRNA". It matches the Rfam family "Bacterial small subunit ribosomal RNA", at positions 8 to 524 of the family's 1533-position model. The record is from RNAcentral.